This 24-nucleotide non-coding RNA is filed under the name Arabidopsis thaliana (thale cress). Lineage: Eukaryota; Viridiplantae; Streptophyta; Magnoliopsida; Brassicales; Brassicaceae. The record is from RNAcentral.
GUUGUUACAAUGUUAUACCAUGCC